CUGAAUAAGAUAUUGACUUGUUUGACUUUUGUACAGGUACAUUAGCCCACUUGAUUUGUCACCUCAAUUCAUGAGGCAGAUCAAGUGGUCCACGCUUUUUUUUGUUAUUUUCUGAUUUUCUUUUAUUCCUUUUAUUUUCAUUAAUUCAUAUUAAUUUUAAUAUUGAUCCAAAAAAUAUGAGAGUUUCACCAAAAAUUUUCAAAUAAUUU
Molecule: long non-coding RNA, 209 nt
Filed under: Lathyrus oleraceus (garden pea)
Lineage: Eukaryota; Viridiplantae; Streptophyta; Magnoliopsida; Fabales; Fabaceae
Description: Pisum sativum (pea) long non-coding RNA (PSAT_LNC014012)
Source: RNAcentral